CCCACUCCCGUCCCGGCACCUCUUUUCUUCUUCUUCUUCGUUUGUUCUUCGGCUGAUCGUUCGUUCUCUCUCUCUCGCCGGAGAACCCGUCACGGCUGAGCCGGCGACGACGGCGCCAGUUUCGGCGGGAUCGAAGAGGGUGGAGCCGCAUCCGGGUCCGCGUGCGGCCGCAGAGGCAAGGCUGAGCGGCGGCGCGUGGGUUCGCUCGGAGCUCCUCACCACCUUUCGCCGGAAGGAAGGACGUGUAUGGCGGAAGGUACCUGAAAAUCGUAGACAUGUAAGUACAAUAAAACUUACUAUGCACAUCACAGCGUGUUAAGAGAAGUAAACAUGUUAGGCGUUGUGGUAGGUUUAAUAAAGAAUAAUGCUUUUACUAGGUACAUUUGGGUUAUUCACGCUAGUUGAAUGGUACACUCUUUUAGAUUUGGAAGUGAAUUGAAGGCAGCUAUAUGUAUCUUCUCGUACAUUUGGGUAUUUUUUGCUUGCUUACCAUUUUUUCCCAAGUAUUUUCUUACAUCAUUUGAGUCAUGAAUCCUGUAUUACGUCGAUUAUCUUAAUUUAAGACAGGAAUCCUAUUCUAAUAAUCCAACAAA
Eucalyptus grandis is the source of this 593-nucleotide long non-coding RNA. RefSeq lists it as uncharacterized. The transcript has 2 exons. The record is from RefSeq and is a predicted model, not a curated record. NCBI's taxonomy places the organism in Eukaryota, Viridiplantae, Streptophyta, Magnoliopsida, Myrtales, Myrtaceae.